RNAcentral lists this ribosomal RNA (513 nucleotides) under Acinetobacter johnsonii. RNAcentral describes it as "bacterial SSU rRNA". It matches the Rfam family "Bacterial small subunit ribosomal RNA", at positions 124 to 631 of the family's 1533-position model. The record is from RNAcentral. Lineage: Bacteria; Pseudomonadati; Pseudomonadota; Gammaproteobacteria; Moraxellales; Moraxellaceae.
AUCUGCCUAUUAGUGGGGGACAACAUUCCGAAAGGAAUGCUAAUACCGCAUACGCCCUACGGGGGAAAGCAGGGGAUCUUCGGACCUUGCGCUAAUAGAUGAGCCUAAGUCAGAUUAGCUAGUUGGUGGGGUAAAGGCCUACCAAGGCGACGAUCUGUAGCGGGUCUGAGAGGAUGAUCCGCCACACUGGGACUGAGACACGGCCCAGACUCCUACGGGAGGCAGCAGUGGGGAAUAUUGGACAAUGGGCGGAAGCCUGAUCCAGCCAUGCCGCGUGUGUGAAGAAGGCCUUUUGGUUGUAAAGCACUUUAAGCGAGGAGGAGGCUACUUGGAUUAAUACUCUAGGAUAGUGGACGUUACUCGCAGAAUAAGCACCGGCUAACUCUGUGCCAGCAGCCGCGGUAAUACAGAGGGUGCGAGCGUUAAUCGGAUUUACUGGGCGUAAAGCGUGCGUAGGCGGCUUCUUAAGUCGGAUGUGAAAUCCCUGAGCUUAACUUAGGAAUUGCAUUCGAU